UGGAUGAUGUGGUUUAAUUCGAUGCAACGCGAAAACUUACCACCUUUGACAUGUAUGGAAGUUUCCAGAGAUGGAUUCGUGCUCGAAAGAGAGCCAUAACACAGGUGCUGCAUGGCUGUCGUCAGCUCGUGUCGUGAGAUGUUGGGUUAAGUCCCGCAACGAGCGCAACCCUUGUCAUUAGUUGCUACAUUUGGUUGGGCACUCUAAUGAGACUGCCGGUGACAAACCGGAGGAAGUGGGGAUGACGUCAAGUCCUCAUGGCCCUUAUAGGUGGGGCUACACACGUCAUACAAUGGCCGGUACAAAGGGUCGCAAACCCGCGAGGGGGAGCCAAUCCAUCAAAGCCGGUCGUAGUCCGGAUCGCAGUCUGCAACUCGACUGCGUGAAGUCGGAAUCGCUAGUAAUCGUGGAUCAGAAUGUCACGGUGAAUACGUUCCCGGGUCUU
RNAcentral lists this ribosomal RNA (445 nucleotides) under uncultured Hydrogenophaga sp. RNAcentral describes it as "bacterial SSU rRNA". It matches the Rfam family "Bacterial small subunit ribosomal RNA", at positions 933 to 1382 of the family's 1533-position model. The record is from RNAcentral. Lineage: Bacteria; Pseudomonadati; Pseudomonadota; Betaproteobacteria; Burkholderiales; Comamonadaceae.